AGCAGUGGGGAAUAUUGCACAAUGGGCGCAAGCCUGAUGCAGCGACGCCGCGUGAGGGAUGAAGGCCUUCGGGUUGUAAACCUCUUUCAGUAGGGAAGAAGCGAAAGUGACGGUACCUGCAGAAGAAGCGCCGGCUAACUACGUGCCAGCAGCCGCGGUAAUACGUAGGGCGCAAGCGUUAUCCGGAAUUAUUGGGCGUAAAGAGCUCGUAGGCGGUUUGUCGCGUCUGCCGUGAAAGUCCGGGGCUUAACUCCGGAUCUGCGGUGGGUACGGGCAGACUAGAGUGCAGUAGGGGAGACUGGAAUUCCUGGUGUAGCGGUGAAAUGCGCAGAUAUCAGGAGGAACACCGAUGGCGAAGGCAGGUCUCUGGGCUGUAACUGACGCUGAGG
Molecule: ribosomal RNA, 389 nt
Filed under: uncultured bacterium
Lineage: Bacteria
Description: bacterial SSU rRNA
Rfam family: Bacterial small subunit ribosomal RNA
Source: RNAcentral